This is a long non-coding RNA of Prionailurus viverrinus (fishing cat), 1563 nucleotides long. RefSeq lists it as uncharacterized. NCBI's taxonomy places the organism in Eukaryota, Metazoa, Chordata, Mammalia, Carnivora, Felidae. The record is from RefSeq and is a predicted model, not a curated record. The transcript has 2 exons.
GGUCGCCGCACCCCAGUAGAGGGAGGGAAGGCGGAGGCGACGGAACUCUACGUCACGCGCGGUCGCCAUGAUUAUUGAGGGCAGAGCGACGGCUGCGGAGAAGGGCAUGGGCGGCUUUCUUUGGUGAGGCCCAACGCUUUCGGGGACUAGGUGGAUAGUGAAUCUUUGGUUUUAUAGAUGGGGAAAUUGAGGCUCUGAGCUAGUUGUUGGUAUUGAAUCAGUGUCACAAGGGAUUUGGUUUGUCUUUAGACAUCUUGAACCCCAAACUAAGGCUCUAGCAAUUGAGUUUUCAAGCUUCUCAGUAAUUAAUAGGCAGAUGGUUUUCCUUCUUUAGCUUCCUUCCUCCCUCCCUUCCUUCCUUUUUUUUCUUCCUUCCUUCCUUCCAUCCUUCAUUCCUUCCUUUCUUCCUUCAUCCUUCUCCCCAUUUGUCCCACCCGCCCUUCUUUCUAUCUUAAUCUUCGUACCCAUCUUCUCUCUUCCUUUACAUUGCCUUCCAUCUUUUCUUUCCUAUUUAUUGUUCUUUCAGUAAAAAUGGUAACAAUAAAAAGUAUGGAGAAUUGAAAAACAAAGAAAUGAUUUUAAAAUUUCAGGAGAGUGAUUUCUUCUGGGAGUGAAGGAGGAGAGUGUGUUAUAGUAGAGGGGAUUAAGGGUUCAUCCAUUUUACUGUGGGACUUGAACAAACACACCCUAACCCCUCUCCAGCUCUGUUUUCUCAUAUCAUCAGGGGUUGCGCUCAGUUAUCUUCAAAGGCUUUUCCAGAUCUUACAUUCUCUGAGUCCAUAAAAACAGAUUGUGUAAGAUAAAAACUUUGGUUUCCUUGCUCUGGGCUAGAUGUCCUGAAUAUAGUAGAUAGAUAAGGGUCAUGGGAAUAUUACUUAACUUCUCUGUGUCUUAAUUCCUUAUCUGUGAAAUGUGGACAACAAUAGUACCUCGUUGUGAAAAUUACUACAGUACAUGGACAUGGUAAGUGAUCACUAAGUAUUAGCUAUUACUAUUGAUAAAUUAGCAACACAUUUAAGGUUCCAUUUUCAUGGAAAAGCUUUGUAUGGAUUAUACAGCCAUGUUGAACCUGUGGGCCUGGGAGCCCCCUCCAUCUUUGUAGAUUUCCCCUUGAGAAAGAAGGGGAUCUAAAGAUGUUACAGUUGGAAAUGCCAAAGGUGAACGGCCUUGGUAAGAGGGAUUACCCAAGGUAAAACCUCUUAGGGAUCCAGGCUGCUGGGGUUUUCCGUCUGUCUCAGAAAUUUAGGCAGGUGUGGUUCCCUGGUGCCCUGAUAAGAGAUGACUCAGCACAGGGAAGAGAACCACUAGGCUCACAGACCAACAACUUCCUUCUUUCCUGGGCUUUUCCCUUGGUGUCUACACAACCUGCAGCCUUCCUGCAUCAGGGCGGGAGGAGGACUUAUCUGAUGCCACAGACCAGUGGCUUUCAGAGAGGGUACACGUAAUUGUCUGCUGUCUGCCGUCUGCGGUUGCUCACUGUGUCAGUGACUGGGUAAAGUGUUUCCACUUCAGCCACAUCCUCCAGUCCAGCUUUGUCAGUAAUAAAGAUGACAUUUUGAUCUC